Carlito syrichta (Philippine tarsier) is the source of this 765-nucleotide RNA transcript. It is a transcript of the gene named protein FRG1-like, with no coding region annotated. Lineage: Eukaryota; Metazoa; Chordata; Mammalia; Primates; Tarsiidae. The transcript has 2 exons. The record is from RefSeq and is a predicted model, not a curated record.
AUGGUUGAAUAUGCCCACGUGAAGUCCACCAAACUUGUGCUCAAGGGGGCGAAGACGCAGCAUAAGAAAAAAAAAAAAAGAGAAGAAGAAACUCAAACUGAUAUUGUUGGAAUUUGGUGGGCAGUAACAAACUUCAGUGAAAUUUCAGGAACCAUAGCUAUUGAAAUGGAUAGAGGAACCUACAUACAUGCACUUGACAAUGGUCUUUUUGCUCUGGGAGCACCACAUAAAGAAGUUGAUGAGGGCCCGAGUCCUCCAGAGCAGUUUACAGCUGUCAAAUUAUCUGAUUCCAGAAUUGCCCUGAAAUCUGGUUAUGGAAAAUAUCUUGGUAUAAACUCAGAUGGACUUGUUGUUGGGCAUUCAGAUGCAAUUGGGCCAAGAGAACAAUGGGAACCCGUCUUUCAAGAUGGGAAAAUGGCUUUAUUGGCCUCAAAUAACUGCUUUAUUUGAUGCAAUGAAGCAGGUGAUAUAGAAGCGAAAAGUAAAACCAUAGGAGAAGAAGAAAUGAUAAAGAUUAGGUCCUGUGCUGAAAGAGAAACAAAGAAAAAAGAUGACAUUCAAGAAGACAAAGGAAAUGUAGAACAAUGUGAAAUCAAUUAUGUAAAAAAAUUUCAGAGCUUCCAAGACCACAAACUUGAAAUAAGUAAAGAAGACAGUAAAAUUCUUUUUUUUAAAAUUCUUAAAAAGGCUUGGAAAGAUGGAUUUUUGGAUGAGACGCUUCUGGACAGGAGAGCCAAACUGAAAGCUGACAGAUACUGCAAAUGA